RNAcentral lists this ribosomal RNA (446 nucleotides) under uncultured bacterium. RNAcentral describes it as "partial 16S ribosomal RNA". It matches the Rfam family "Bacterial small subunit ribosomal RNA", at positions 338 to 795 of the family's 1533-position model. The record is from RNAcentral.
CCUACGGGUGGCAGCAGUCGAGAAUUAUUCACAAUGGGGGAAACCCUGAUGGUGCGACGCCGCGUGGGGGAAUGAAGAUCUUCGGAUUGUAAACCCCUGUCAUGUGGGAGCAAAUUAAAAAGAUAGUACCACAAGAGGAAGAGACGGCUAACUCUGUGCCAGCAGCCGCGGUAAUACAGAGGUCUCAAGCGUUGUUCGGAAUCACUGGGCGUAAGGCGUGCGUAGGCUGUUUCGUAAGUCGUGUGUGAAAGGCGCGGGCUCAACCCGCGGACGGCACAUGAUACUGCGAGACUAGAGUAAUGGAGGGGGAACCGGAAUUCUCGGUGUAGCAGUGAAAUGCGUAGAUAUCGAGAGGAACACUCGUGGCGAAGGCGGGUUCCUGGACAUUAACUGACGCUGAGGCACGAAGGCCAGGGGAGCGAAAGGGAUUAGAUACCCCAGUAGUC